UAAUUAAUUAUUUAUUGGGUGAAGAUGGAUCCAUUUGCUUAUGUGUAAUGCUGAAGUAAAUAUUUGUAGGAAUAAGUUAAGUGAAAUUGAAUUAUCACUAUCCUAUUUGAUUAUCAGAAAUUUUUUUGGUGCCCUAGGUUACGGUCGCUGUGGUCUGCCCGCAGCUGCCUAGUCACACGACCGCGGUCGUGGUUGCCAUCGGUAACUCGAAUUGCCUCCCCAUGCCGUCGUCCAGGAGGCUCAUUCUGGCUUGAGUUUCAGAAGAAGGAGAAGAGGCUUCGACCACCAACGAGUAAGACAUUUUGCUAGUGCCUUUACGUCUCAGGCGACGCGCCGAAGUGCCGACUGUUGAACCAGCAAGCACUGCCCACAACCUCUGCUCGUCCAAGAGCCGCCGCUUGCAACUGUUUCGCCUCCGGAGAUUUUCGUCGCCGCACGCCAGAAGGAGAGUACCAUCGCCUGCAACUGUUUCGCUUCAGGAUUGUUGGAUCGUUGGAUUUGCAAGACGAGGAAUUCUUGUGUGACCAAGCGUGGGGUAUCGUUUGAAGAGGUGUUGCUCUAGUCUAUUGAAGGAGUGUGUAUGGUUUGUUCCACCCAGAAAGGAACGGUAUAGUGGAAUCCUUAGGUGAUUUGCCUAAGGCGAUGACAUAGGCUGGGGAUAAGUCAACCCUCAUAAAAAUCUCGUCUCACUUUCUUCCCUACUCUCAUUUAAAUUCUAGCAUAUAUUAAUUGUGUGGUUGAAUUUUAAUUUUUGAUCAUAUAUACUAUGUGGAUUGGAAAUUAAAUAAA
Malania oleifera is the source of this 789-nucleotide long non-coding RNA. RefSeq lists it as uncharacterized. NCBI's taxonomy places the organism in Eukaryota, Viridiplantae, Streptophyta, Magnoliopsida, Santalales, Ximeniaceae. The record is from RefSeq and is a predicted model, not a curated record. The transcript is spliced from 2 exons.